This 254-nucleotide ribosomal RNA is filed under the name uncultured bacterium. Its description in RNAcentral is "partial 16S ribosomal RNA". It matches the Rfam family "Bacterial small subunit ribosomal RNA", at positions 524 to 776 of the family's 1533-position model. The record is from RNAcentral.
UACGUGGGGUGCAAGCGUUAUCCGGAUUUACUGGGCGUAAAGCGUACCGUCGGUUGUUUUUUAUGUUUCUUGUUUAAGCCCGAGGCUCAACUUCGGACAAGCAAGAAAAACUGGAAAACUUGAGUUUGUUUGAGGCAGCUGGAAUUCUCAGUGGAGGGGUGAAAUCCGUAGAUAUUGAGAGGAACGCCAAUCGCGAAGGCAGGCUGCUAAGACAUAACUGACACUCAUGGACGAAAGCUGGGGUAGCAAAAGGG